Molecule: non-coding RNA, 126 nt
Filed under: Astrosyne radiata
Lineage: Eukaryota; Bacillariophyta; Fragilariophyceae; Cyclophorales; Cyclophoraceae
Source: RNAcentral
AAUCCAUUGGCAAAAGCCAUCUCGGAAAAGAACUGGGCCCAAGUGCGUGUGGAAUGUAUGAAGCGACCAAAGUAUGCACGACAAUGGAUCCGUAUCAAGAAUGAAACCAGCACACGCCGCAUCCUU